GACGAACGCUGGCGGCGUGCUUAACACAUGCAAGUCGAACGGAAAGGCCCUGCUUUUGUGGGGUGCUCGAGUGGCGAACGGGUGAGUAACACGUGAGUAACCUGCCCUUGACUUUGGGAUAACUUCAGGGAACAGGGGCUAAUAUCGGGGAGGAUCUCCUGCUGCAUGUGGGGGGUUAGAAAGUGUCGGCGGUUGGGGAUGGACUCGCGGCUUAUCAGCUUGUUGGUGAAGUAGUGACUUACCAAGGCUUUGACGGGUAGCCGGCCUGAGAGGGUGACCGGCCACAUUGGGACUGAGAUACGGCCCAGAAUCCUACGUGAGGCAGCAGUGGGGAAUCUUGCACAAUGGGCGGACGCCUGAUGCAGCAACGCCGCGUGCGGGAUGACGGCCUUCGGGUUGUAAACCGCUUUCGCCUGUGACGAAGCGUGAGUGACGGUACUGGGUAAAGAAGCACCGGCUAACUACGUG
RNAcentral lists this ribosomal RNA (468 nucleotides) under uncultured bacterium. RNAcentral's name for it is "partial 16S ribosomal RNA". It matches the Rfam family "Bacterial small subunit ribosomal RNA", at positions 28 to 507 of the family's 1533-position model. The record is from RNAcentral.